ACGGGAGGCAGCAGUAGGGAAUCUUCCGCAAUGGGCGAAAGCCUGACGGAGCAACGCCGCGUGAGUGAUGAAGGUCUUCGGAUCGUAAAACUCUGUUAUUAGGGAAGAACAAACGUGUAAGUAACUGUGCACGUCUUGACGGUACCUAAUCAGAAAGCCACGGCUAACUACGUGCCAGCAGCCGCGGUAAUACGUAGGUGGCAAGCGUUAUCCGGAAUUAUUGGGCGUAAAGCGCGCGUAGGCGGUUUUUUAAGUCUGAUGUGAAAGCCCACGGCUCAACCGUGGAGGGUCAUUGGAAACU
This 301-nucleotide ribosomal RNA is filed under the name Staphylococcus sp. F04_30. Its description in RNAcentral is "bacterial SSU rRNA". It matches the Rfam family "Bacterial small subunit ribosomal RNA", at positions 341 to 634 of the family's 1533-position model. Lineage: Bacteria; Bacillati; Bacillota; Bacilli; Caryophanales; Staphylococcaceae. The record is from RNAcentral.